RNAcentral lists this ribosomal RNA (468 nucleotides) under uncultured bacterium. RNAcentral's name for it is "partial 16S ribosomal RNA". It matches the Rfam family "Bacterial small subunit ribosomal RNA", at positions 28 to 507 of the family's 1533-position model. The record is from RNAcentral.
GACGAACGCUGGCGGCGUGCUUAACACAUGCAAGUCGAACGCAAAGGCCCUGCUUUUGUGGGGUGCUCGAGUGGCGAACGGGUGAGUAACACGUGAGUAACCUGCCCUUGACUUUGGGAUAACUUCAGGAAACUGGGGCUAAUACCGGAUAGGAGCUCCUGCUGCAUGGUGGGGGUUGGAAAGUUUCGGCGGUUGGGGAUGGACUCGCGGCUUAUCAGCUUGUUGGUGGGGUAGUGGCUUACCAAGGCUGUGACGGGUAGCCGGCCUGAGAGGGUGACCGGCCACAUUGGGACUGAGAUACGGCCCAGACUCCUACGGGAGGCAGCAGUGGGGAAUAUUGCACAAUGGGCGGAAGCCUGAUGCAGCAACGCCGCGUGCGGGAUGACGGCCUUCGGGUUGUAAACCGCUUUCGCCUGUGACGAAGCGUGAGUGACGGUAAUGGGUAAAGAAGCACCGGCUAACUACGUG